This is a long non-coding RNA of Ostrea edulis (European flat oyster), 2284 nucleotides long. RefSeq lists it as uncharacterized. The record is from RefSeq and is a predicted model, not a curated record. NCBI's taxonomy places the organism in Eukaryota, Metazoa, Mollusca, Bivalvia, Ostreida, Ostreidae. The transcript has 2 exons.
AUCAAGAGACCUAAACAUGACUUACGUAACUUAGUGUCUUGUCCAAACGAUGCCUGUUGACCCACAAGGCUCAGUAAUGAAUAAUGCUGGGGAAAAUACAUGUAAUUGAUUUUUUUUAAAAACAUGAAAAAAGAGCACUGCUUCAUUAUUUUUAUUUUAGCUUGUAGGUUUUCAUUUUAGCCUGUGGAUUUUUUACCCACAGGCUAAAAUUAGCCUGUGGUAGAAAAAGUUAAUUUCGACCCCUGCCUUUGAUGCACGACACUGUUCUGGACUGUAUGCUCUCAGCAGUCGACUGCCUCUACGUAUUUCUUUUUUUUUUUUAUUCUCAAUCUUUUCAAGUUACGAAUUGUAUAAUAAAAAUGCCCAAACCUUUCAAGUUUGUAAAAUUGGGUUUAAACAGCACUGCCUUUGAACAUAAAAUGCAUUUCAAUAUAAUGAUAAUUUAACCCCACCACCACCAUGCGCACCUAUCUAAUUUAAAAAAAAAAUUAAAUUCAUAUGAUAAUCCCCUUGUAGCAAUGGUAUGUUCCAAAAGAGAAAAUUAGAACAAUAUUUAUAAUAUUGUACAUAAUCCUAGUUGUGACACAGUGAUGAAAUAUUUUAGCACUGAUUAUAUUUGCUGUUUGCCACUAAUACAAAAUUUUAUCACUUAGUCUAAAUAUAAUCAGAUAUCAUAUGUCUGUGUGUCUGGCAUUUUAAAAUUUAAUACCUCAACAAUAAAUUUCAAAAUCCCAAUGUUAAUGAAGAUUUUAUGAUAAAAAGAACUACAGAGAAUUUUCACCCGUAAACAUACAAUCAUUUAUUGUACCACAGGGUCUUCUUAUUCAUUUUGUUCUCAAUCUAUAUAUAAUUUAUAUAUAGCAUAUAAAAUGAGAACAAAAUGGAUAAGAAUCCCCUGUGAUUGUGUGUACAGUGUUGAAAAAAUUUCAUAAGCACCAAACAAACAACAAAACUAUUUGUCAUAUUGUAAAUUGAAGUGUUAUAACCGAGAAACUAAAAUCAUUUUAAACCAAUACAUACCAGUUUCAAAGUCUAAAGUUUUUGUGACUUUCUAAAGCAUUAAUUUUUUUAAAAUUUAGACGAACCUAAUUCUGCCCAUAUAUAUAUUUUUGCACCUUGUUUUCACUGCAAAUUACUCUCCCCGGAUUCCCCUAACCUUGUACCGUUAACCAAGAAUUGGUUUUCCUCCAUCUGUGUAAAACAAGUGCAUGUGUGACGGAAGUAGGUAAAAAUAAAUGCGCGACUCCCAUUCUUGCAAAUACUUUCAAAUAGUUAGCGAGACAAUGCUGCAGGAGCGACAUUUCAGUAAAAACUUAGUAAGUUUAACAGAAGAAAUAUAUAUCGUUUGUCCUGUACCAUUUUCUGUGCCACCAAUCAAUCGUUUACGAUUUAUGAUAUAAGUUUUCAUCUGCUUUCGAUCGCACCCUACCUGUUUAUUUAAGAAAGAAGUAUAAUAAUUACCCGUUAGGCUUAUACAGUUGUGUAUUGAGUUACCUCUACGCAUGACUUUAGGAGUGUAAAGCGUAUUUACAUUCGCGAAUGCGUAAUUGUACGCCUGAUUUUAAACUUUAAUGCGUAUUUGGUAAAAUUUAAUGAGUAUUUACGCUGAUACGCACCUUAUCUGGAGCUCUGUCAGACUGAGUACAACUUGUUUCUUUCUCUUCAAGAGGCGUUUGUGCAUGUGUACUUGUUUGUGUGUGUGUGUGUAAUAAUCAGGAUAUUAUUAGGUUCACUUCCAGUAUUAGGUUCUUGCUAGAUUAAAAUAUCUUUAAGGCACCCAGAAUGCAUAUCAGCAAUUAUAAUUACAAUCACAUAAGGGUCGGGCUGAUGAGUUUUAUAUUCAUUCAUUUUGUGACUAAAGUUACAGUUGAUUGUAAUCUUAUUGAAUAUUGUAUGAAAAGGUGAAGAUAGCAAACAGUGAUUAAUGAUAAUAAUCUCAUGUCACUCCUAAAAGGAAAUAUAAUGAUGUAAUGAUUUUAUUUCACAGUAAUGUUUUGUGUGGAUUGUGGAGAGAGGUUGCUUCCCACAAAUAAAUUUUGUGGAAACUGUGGAGCUGCUGUCUGCAAAAGAAAUGAUGUCAAGGAUAAACCUAGCUCCACAGGCACGCUGAGUCCUUGGGCCAAGGGCAAGUAUAAAUUGUAAAUUGUAAAUUAUAUGAUCCCAGGGAUAGGGGUUUUUGGUAUCAGGGUGGGGCCAAAAUGGUCAGUUAUGAAAUGUGUGAACAAUAGACAUUUUGAACUACUUGAUAACUAUCAUUCCAAUUCUUUUCAAAUUUUGUAUGAAA